Molecule: microRNA precursor, 145 nt
Organism: Gossypium arboreum
Lineage: Eukaryota; Viridiplantae; Streptophyta; Magnoliopsida; Malvales; Malvaceae
Rfam family: MIR7502 microRNA precursor family
Source: Rfam
UGUUGAAAAUUUUAUCUAUUUAUACUAUUAAAAACUAGCAUGACUAACGGAAUAAUCAAAUAGUGAUAUUUGAUGCGCCAUGUGUAGAUCAUGCUAACAUACAUGUAUUAGUUUUUAACAGUAAAAAUUAAUAAAAUCUUUACCA